CAGAGCCAUGUUUGCCAGACCCAGGCUGGCUGGAAUCCCUUCAUCUGGGAUUAAAGGUGUGAGCAACCAUGCCAGCCCAUGAGAGAGUUUUGUAAGAGCAGUGGUUACAGGAAAGGCAAGUUGUGAUCAGAUUGGAACAUUUAAACAUAUCAGAGUGACUGUUACCCUGCAGGACUGUCAGUGUAUAUGUGGGGUGGGGAGAAUGCACAAGUGUUUGAACAAGAAGCAGCUUGGCCCUGUUGGAGAGUCUGAAGGAGGAGAGGCAGGAGGCACAGGAAAUCUGUGCUUUUCACGGCUUCCAGAACUACUAUUCCAAAAAGCCCAGAGAAAGGAGACACAAAUUCAUCUUUCUGGCAAGUCUCUGAUGUCUCUGAUGACUACAUUCAAGGGGAAGGGAGCUGAACUCCAGUGCAGCACUAAG
This 421-nucleotide long non-coding RNA is filed under the name Cricetulus griseus (Chinese hamster). RNAcentral describes it as "lncRNA (ENSCGRG00015038620.1)". The record is from RNAcentral. Lineage: Eukaryota; Metazoa; Chordata; Mammalia; Rodentia; Cricetidae.